UGAAUUUUUGGGGUAUUUAGAGAAAUGGAAAACUAGGGUUUGAAAAUUGGAGAUUUUGGGGUUUAAGGGUUUUGAACCUAAUUGAUAUCCUAAUUCUCUAAUAUUUGAAGGAUAGAGGAGAGCCCUAGACAACUCUAGGUUGGAAUUCGGUAAGCGUUCGGUGGUCGAUUGCGAGUUCGAGCCGAACCGGGCGACGUGUGCCGCGGGAGCCCGAUUGCAAGUGUCUACAAGCAAUCGGAAGCAAUGCGAGAUGGGUUGUGCUUCACCAAAGUGAUUAGGUCACUUCCAUGCCAAAGAGUGAAGUAUGUUUUUGAUAUUGUUGUUGAUGCAUGUAAUGAUAGUUUAAUUGUAAUUGUGGAUGCAUGAGAUAUAGGGUAAAUUG
This 382-nucleotide long non-coding RNA is filed under the name Ananas comosus (pineapple). RNAcentral's name for it is "long non-coding RNA (ACOM_LNC030609)". Lineage: Eukaryota; Viridiplantae; Streptophyta; Magnoliopsida; Poales; Bromeliaceae. The record is from RNAcentral.